This 277-nucleotide unclassified non-coding RNA is filed under the name Hevea brasiliensis (rubber tree). Lineage: Eukaryota; Viridiplantae; Streptophyta; Magnoliopsida; Malpighiales; Euphorbiaceae. The record is from RNAcentral.
AAAAAAAAAAAGCCACAGUAAACUUACUGAGAUUAAAACUUUUGCUAACUGCUCAGAAGUUGGGAUAUGAAAUACACGAUUCAAAGAACUUAGCUUAAUAAGCAAUCAAAUGAAGCCAAUUUUUUGAAUAGUCUACUCCAAACCACUUCACAUAUAUAAGUCUACAAUUUCAACAAAAAUCUUGAUACCUCCACAAUAUUUUUUGUUUUUAAAUUCUGAAGCUGCAAGGCUAUAGUUUAAUUUCAGCCAAAACCAAAUUUGAUCUUUGAAUAAAAAG